AUUUGUAGAUUUAAAAAUUAUACACAAUAUACUUUCCCCUCACUCAGAAGUGACCAGUAACAACCCUACACUGACCCUGAGAUACGGUUACUUCACAGAAUUGUAUAAUUACUUCUUAAAAUUCAUCACAUUCAUGGAACAGCUGCAGCUUGAAACCAUGGAUAGGAACUGUAAUUCCCAGUAAUGACAGAGGAAACAGCAGAUCAGAUAGAGGCGAAAAUCUCACCAAAAAUCUAACUGUGUUGAAGCUCUCUGUAGGAAUAUGAAAUCAAAUGAUAGCUAUAAAUGUUAAUAAAAAUAACGGAAGGCUGCCAAAUGAAACCUGAAAUGGCGACCUGGUUUGGUGGUCUUAGGGAUAUUAAGUCAUCAUGCCAUAUGAGAUCCUAUAUAAUUAAUAGACUAUAUUUGCAGAUUAAAAAAUUACAAAUACACUUUCUCCUUCAAAAGUGACCAGCAAGCAUGCUGACCAGCAACCAAGAUGACAAGAAAAAGCGACAAGCAACUAAGAUGAAAUGCUCACCUCUUUGCUUCUCCGAAUUUCACACAUUCACGGAACAAGCCACUCCUGGAGUGCUGAAGGAAAUCCAAGUAAUCAGUUGCAACCUGGAAACAUAGAACAGGAAUUGCGAUUCCCAAUAGUACUGGAGGGAACAGCAGAUCAGCACGCAGAGCCCUUGCACAGUCGCAGGUGAGCGAUAGCAGAAGUUGGUCACAAAGCUCCCCUGCACCUUCUAUUUGACUGAAUCUAGUUCUGAAGACCGGGGUGAAAUCCUGGCUACACUGAAAUCAAUGACAAAAGUCCUAUUGACCUCCAUUGAGCCAGCAUUGUACUCUAGGGAUCUACUUCAGUGAGAACUGCCAUCUCUGGGUGCUGGCACUCUAGGAGGUAAGCAGCUUGUUCAUAAUUCGUUGUUAAAUGUUUUCAACUUGUAUUAUUUUUGUUCUUGCACAUGUUCUGAGCCUGCAGUCUUCCCCAGGCCGAAGUCCAGUGAACCCAGAACAAAAUCCAAUAGAUAUAUGAAUG
This 1024-nucleotide long non-coding RNA is filed under the name Chrysemys picta bellii (western painted turtle). RNAcentral's name for it is "lncRNA (ENSCPBG00000026649.1)". Lineage: Eukaryota; Metazoa; Chordata; Testudines; Emydidae. The record is from RNAcentral.